GCCGGGGGUGGUGGCGCGCGCCUGUAAUCCCAGCUACUUAUGAGGCUGAGGCAGGAGAAUCGCUUGAACCCAGGAGGUGGAGGUUGCAGUGAGCCAAGAUGGCGCCACUGCACUCCAGCCUGGGUGACAGAGUGAGACUCCGUCUCAA
This 148-nucleotide non-coding RNA is filed under the name Pan paniscus (pygmy chimpanzee). Lineage: Eukaryota; Metazoa; Chordata; Mammalia; Primates; Hominidae. RNAcentral also lists the same sequence under 1 other name. The record is from Rfam by way of RNAcentral.